CCUCGGCCCUUCUCAUCUUCCAGGCGCAUGCUCCGUCCACUAGACCUCCCUGCUUCUCCCUCCUGUUCUCCCUCCCCUUCAGACCAUAAGCUCCUUAGGAGGUGGGGACUGGGUUCUAUCUGAUGACCCCAAUGCUUGACACAUUGUAAAUACUUAAUGAAUGUGGUUGUUAUUUGUUAUUAUUGUUGUUAUUAUCAUCAUUCCUGUCAUCAAAGAGGGAAGCAUUAUGGCCUAGUGGAUAAAGCAUGGGUCUGGGAGCCAGAGGACUGGCAUCUAAUCCUGACUUCACCACUUGUGUGCUGUGAGACCUUGUGCAAGGCACUUUACGUCUCUGGGCCUCGGUUUCCUCAGCAGCAGAAUGGGGAUUGAAUACCUGCUUAGACUGUGAGACCCAUGUGGGGACAGGAACUGUAUCCAGCCUGAUUUACUUGCAUCUGCCCCUGCGCUUAAAACAAUGCUUGACAUAUAGUAAGUGCUUAACAGAUACCAUAAAAAAAUACCUCUAAAAAGAAAAGUAAAAGCCUUUCCCUCGGAGGGUAUCGUGAAGAAUAACUGGCUAUAGUGGACGCGGUACACGUUUCAAAUCCCAGAUGCUGCAGAAAACCCAAUAAAUAGAAGGAUGUCAUGGAAAAAUCUCAGUAAUCCCCAUUUCUUGACCCAGAAUUUGGAUCCAGAUCAGACCGAGCUACGUAUGAACUAUUUAUUGGAUCCAGAUUGAAAGAAUGAAACUUUUCUCUGCAAGCCUCCUGAUGCCUUGCUCUUUGUUUGGAUUCCAGGAUUUCUCCUUCCCGUCGCGGACCUGUCCAACAAGGGGGCUCGAUCGGACCCUCCCUUCCAGGGGCAAGAUCACAGUCAUCGGAUCAAUGUUUCCUCUCCUGGAUGCAACCUCCUCUUACAUUUUUAGAAUGAGAAAAGAAGUCAUAGCUACGGGGUCUAAACCAUGUGGUUUACAGAGAAUCUUUCUGCCAUCCUGCCCCGAUCCUGAAGUGUGUAGCUACAGAACUGCUGAAGAUUGGAAAAGCACAUUAAAAAAAAAGAUCCUAUCUCAGAGGCAUGGGGGACAAGGUGGUUUUUAUUUGUACAAUACAUUUUUUUUAAAGGAAAAAAAUGACUGCCUUCACGGGGAGUGA
This 1130-nucleotide long non-coding RNA is filed under the name Ornithorhynchus anatinus (platypus). Its description in RNAcentral is "lncRNA (ENSOANG00000043835.1)". The record is from RNAcentral. Lineage: Eukaryota; Metazoa; Chordata; Mammalia; Monotremata; Ornithorhynchidae.